GUACAAAAAAUGAACGAAAAACAAAUAUGUAACACAUAAACAAACGACAACCACUGAAUUACGGGUUCCUUACUUAAAUGUUCAUAACAUACUAAAUGUAUGUUCAUAUUGAAAUUGAUAGAAAACCAAAAAUUGGGAAUUUUGGAAAUGAAGGAGGAGGGAUAAAAAAAAACAUUUUUCUGUCCCAAAUAACCUAUGACUUAUGAUACAUUUGCUCAAAUUCUCCAGUCAUUCAAUAUUUUACAAAAUUCUUCCAACAAC
RNAcentral lists this long non-coding RNA (261 nucleotides) under Mytilus galloprovincialis (Mediterranean mussel). Lineage: Eukaryota; Metazoa; Mollusca; Bivalvia; Mytilida; Mytilidae. The record is from RNAcentral.